This 1527-nucleotide ribosomal RNA is filed under the name human metagenome. RNAcentral's name for it is "bacterial LSU rRNA". It matches the Rfam family "Bacterial large subunit ribosomal RNA", at positions 1006 to 2317 of the family's 2925-position model. The record is from RNAcentral.
CGUGGUCGAGAGGGAAACAGCCCGGAUCGCCGGCUAAGGCCCCUAAGCGUGUGCUAAGUGGGAAAGGAUGUGCGGUCGCGCAGACAACCAGGAGGUUGGCUUAGAAGCAGCCAUCCUUGAAAGAGUGCGUAAUAGCUCACUGGUCGAGUGGUCGUGCGCCGACAAUGUAGCGGGGCUCAAGCACACCGCCGAAGCCGCGGAUCCCCAGCGUUGAUCCUCCCAUGCCCAUGUUUUGUGUGGGUGUGGCAGGGGUUGGGGGUGGUAGGGGAGCGUCCUGCACUGGGUGAAGCCCGGGGGUGACCCGCGGGUGGACGGUGCGGGAGUGAGAAUGCAGGCAUGAGUAGCGAUGACUAGGGUGAGAAGCCCUAGCGCCGAGAGACCAAGGGUUCCAGGGCCAGGCUAGUCCGCCCUGGGUGAGUCGGGACCUAAGGCGAGGCCGACAGGCGUAGUCGAUGGAUGACGGGUUGAUAUUCCCGUACCGGCGAAGCACCGACCAUGCUGACGCGCGGGUGCUAACCCACGCCCCUGCCGCCACGAGAAGCCGCGGCCGUCUCCUUCGGGGGGUGGUCGUGGUUGUGGUGGCGUGUGGUCUGGGGGUCCUCCGUGCUGGUAGGCAAGCGUGUUAACAGGGGUGACGCACAGUGGUAGCCCGGCGGGCCUAAUGGCUUGGCCUGUUCAAGCGCGCAGCCCGGUCCCUAGGUAAAUCCGGGGGCCAGCCUCAUGCGUGGGGCGGGGGUGAGGCGUGAUGGUGACCGGUAGCCGUGUGCUGCUGGGAUAACAGGGUGAUCCUGGGGUGCCGAGAAAAGCCUCGACGCGAUGGUCUAAGCCGCCCGUACCCGAAACCGACACAGGUGGUCCGGCAGAGUAUGCCUAGGCGAACGAGUGAACCGUGGUGAAGGAACUCGGCAAAAUGCCCCCGUAACUUCGGGAGAAGGGGGGCCCGAACCCUGAAACGGCUGGCCCGUUAGGGGGGUGGGCCGCAGAGAGCAGGGGGGAGCGACUGUUUACUAAAAACACAGGUCCGUGCGAAGCCGCAAGGCGAUGUAUACGGACUGACGCCUGCCCGGUGCUGGAAGGUCAAGAGGAUCCCUCAGCCCCCCGUAGGGGGGUGAAGGGGUGAGUCCAAGCCCCAGUAAACGGCGGUGGUAACUAUAACCAUCCUAAGGUAGCGAAAUUCCUUGUCGGGUAAGUUCCGACCUGCACGAAUGGCGUAACGACUUCCCCGCUGUCUCCACCACGGGCUCGGCGAAAUUGCACUACGAGUAAAGAUGCUCGUUACGCGCAGAAGGACGGAAAGACCCCGGGACCUUUACUAUAGCUUGGUAUUGGCGUCCGCCAUGGUUUGUGCAGGAUAGGUGGGAGACUGUGAGACCGCCACGCUAGUGGUGGUGGAGUCAUUGUUGAGAUACCACUCUGGCUGUGGCGUGCGCCUGAACCUCGGCCCGUGAUCCGGGUCAGGGACAGUGCCUGGUGGGUAGUUUAACUGGGGCGGUUGCCUCCUAAAAGGUAACGGAGGCGCUCAAAGGU